GCUCACUUCAGCAGCACAUAUACUAAAAUUGGAACAAUACAGAGAAGAUUAUAAUGGCCCCUGCCAUAGAAUGACACGCAAAUUUAUGAAGUGUUCCAUAUUUUU
Small nuclear RNA from Monodelphis domestica (gray short-tailed opossum), 105 nucleotides. The record is from Ensembl. Lineage: Eukaryota; Metazoa; Chordata; Mammalia; Didelphimorphia; Didelphidae.